AGAGUUUGAUCCUAGAUUAGAAGGAACGCUACCUAUAUGCUUAACACAUGCAAGUCGAACGUUGUUUUCGGGGAGCUGGGCAGAAGGAAAAGAGACUCUCAGCUAAAGGUAGCCUGUCUCGCCCAAGAGGUGAGAAAAGUAGAGAACAAAGUCGCGAAUGGGUGUGUAACGCGAGGGAAUCUGCGGAAUAAUUCGGGCCAAAUCCUGAAGAAAGCUAAAAAGCAUUGUUUGAUAAGAUUGCGUAGUAUUAAGUAGUUGGUCAGGUAAAGGCUGACCAAGCCAAUGAUGAUUAGCUGGUCUUUUUGGAUGAUCAGCCACACUGGGACUGAGACACAGCUCGGAAUCCCACGAGGGGCAGCAGUGGGGAAUCUUGGACAAUGGGCGAAAACUCGAUCCAACAAUAUCGCGUGAGUGAAGAAAAGCUCUUUCAUCAAGUGCGCGAUCAUGACAGGACUCGAGGAAUAAGCCCCAGCUAACUCCAUGCCAGCAGCCACGGUAAGAUAAUGGGGGGUAAGUGUUGUUCGAAAUGACUGGGCAUAAAGGGCAUGUACGCGAUGAAUCGAGUUGAAAAUGAAAGCCACCAAAAACUGGCAGAAUACUCUCGAAACUAAUAAACUAGAGUGAGAUAGAAGAUAGUGGAAUUUUGUGUGUAGGGGUGAAAUCCGGAGAUCUACGAAGGAACGCUAAAAGCGAAGGUAGCUAUCUGGGUCCCUACCGACGCUGAUGUGCGAAAGCAUGGGGAGUGAACAUGAUUAGAUACCCUGGUAGUCCAUGCCAUAUAUGAUGAGUGUUCGCCUUUGGUAUACGCAGAUCAGGGGCCCAGCUAACGCGUGAGACACUUCACCUGGGGAGUACGGUCGCAAGACCGAAACUCAAAGGAAUUGAUGGGGACCUGCACAAACGCUGGAGCAUGUGGUUUAAUUCGAUGCAAUGCUCAAAACCUUACCAGCCCUUGACAUAUGAAGAAGAAAACAUGUCCUUAACAGGAUGGUACUUACUUUCAUACAAGUGUUGCAUGGAUGUCGUCAGCUCGUGUCGUGAGAUGUUUUGUCAAGUCAUAUAACGAGCGAAACCCUCAUUUUGUAUUGCUGAGACAUGCGCCUAUGGAGAAAGUCUUUGCAACCACAGUGAGCCGAGAAGUCGAGUGACGUGCCAGUGCUACUAAUUAAGUGCCAGCACCUAGCUGUGCUGUCAUUAAAAAGGUAGCCGGUGCCUUUCGAAGCACUUUCUAUUAUAGUUAGCACUAUUUAUUGAUUGCAGCUAGCGCGCUUGACUAAUAAGAUAGAAAGGGCCUUUCUCGCUUGUUUAGUAAAGUCAAGUUUUUGGCCUUAUCUUGCAGGUGACGACGACAUCAAGUUGACGGCAGAGAAAGACUCGGCAUUCAGGCGAGCUACCCGGUGGUGUGGUACGUAGUGGGUUUAGUGCGCCCACCUAAACAAACAACUCUGAAAGAAACAAAAGGGUGUGUUGCGCACUCACGAAGGACUGCCAGUGAUUUACUGGAGGAAGGUGGGGAUGAAGUCAAGUCCGCAUGGCUCUUAUUAGCUAGACCAGACACGUGCUACAAUGAUAAUUACAAUGGGAAGCAAGGCUAUAAGGCCGAGCGAAUCUUGAAAGAUUACCUCAGUUCGGAUUGUUCUCUGAAACUCGGGAACAUGAAGUUGGAAUCGCUAGUAAUCGCGGAUCAGCAUGCCGCGGUGAAUAUAUAAUCGGGCCAUGUACACACCGCCUGUCACACCGUGGGAAUUGGUUUCUCCUGAAGCAUCGAACCAAUUUUCACCCAUGACAUCUAUGGCACACUAGUGCCACAAAGGCUUUUGGUGGUCUUAUUGGCGCAUACCACGGUGGGGUCUUCGACUGGGGCGAAGUCGUAACAAUGUAGCCCUAAUGGAACCUGUGGCUG
RNAcentral lists this non-coding RNA (1903 nucleotides) under Solanum verrucosum. RNAcentral describes it as "bacterial SSU rRNA". It matches the Rfam family "Bacterial small subunit ribosomal RNA". Lineage: Eukaryota; Viridiplantae; Streptophyta; Magnoliopsida; Solanales; Solanaceae. The record is from RNAcentral.